UUGACCUCGGAUCAGGUAGGAAUACCCGCUGAACUUAAGCAU
RNAcentral lists this ribosomal RNA (42 nucleotides) under Fusarium oxysporum. Its description in RNAcentral is "partial 28S ribosomal RNA". Lineage: Eukaryota; Fungi; Ascomycota; Sordariomycetes; Hypocreales; Nectriaceae. The record is from RNAcentral. RNAcentral also lists the same sequence under 52 other names.